GGGAAUGUGGCUUAGUGGUAGAGUGCUUGCCUUGCUUAGCAUGCAUGAAGCCCUGGGUUCGAGUCCCCAAUACCA
This 75-nucleotide transfer RNA is filed under the name Dipodomys ordii (Ord's kangaroo rat). It matches the Rfam family "tRNA". Rfam says of the family: Transfer RNA (tRNA) molecules are approximately 80 nucleotides in length. Their secondary structure includes four short double-helical elements and three loops (D, anti-codon, and T loops). The record is from Rfam by way of RNAcentral. Lineage: Eukaryota; Metazoa; Chordata; Mammalia; Rodentia; Heteromyidae.